AAACAGUUUCCUGUUCUCAGCUUUGUCCGUAUUGUACCAGCCAGCUGCUACACACAGACACAGCACAGCAGUAAUAUACAACACAAGGGGUGUCAAACUCAUUCCACGGACUGCCGAGUGCCAGCGGGUUUUUGGUUUUUCCUUCCAGUUAAGACGUAGACAACCAGGUGAGGGGAGUUCCUUACUAAUUAGUGACCUUAAUCAAUCAAGUACAAGGGUGGAGCGGAACCCGCAGACAUUCGGCGCUCGGUGGAGUGAGUUUGACACAUGUGGUGUAGUAGAUUGAGGCUGAAGUGAAAGUGAAAGUGUUUAGUGCUCUACAGUUGAGCAUUGCAGAAACCCCAAAACUGAGGUUGUGCGUUUGGCAUGUGUUAUUGAGAAUACAUACAUAUCUUAUCUUGUAUCUGUUUGUUUAGCUUUAGAGUACUUACAUAAAGUAUCCAGGCACCUGUGACUUUGUAGUAUACACAUAUAUAUUGAACAAAAAUAUAAAUGCAACAUGCAACAAUUUCAUUGAUUUUACUGAGUUACAGUUAUGAGGAAAUCAGUCAAUUGACAAAUUCAUUAUGC
Long non-coding RNA from Oncorhynchus tshawytscha (Chinook salmon), 570 nucleotides. Lineage: Eukaryota; Metazoa; Chordata; Actinopteri; Salmoniformes; Salmonidae. The record is from Ensembl.